CUCGGGGAGAGGGGGCGCCCUCAGCCUGGAUUGCAAGAGGGAGCAGGCCAGGCUGAGGGACCCCAUCGGUGCACG
This is a non-coding RNA of Myotis brandtii (Brandt's bat), 75 nucleotides long. NCBI's taxonomy places the organism in Eukaryota, Metazoa, Chordata, Mammalia, Chiroptera, Vespertilionidae. The record is from Rfam.